UUUUUGUUGAAAUUAAUUGUUUUCUUGGGUAUUUUUAAACUAAAGUAUAUGCUUAAUUCUAAUCUGAUUUUUGUUGUUGUAAACUAAAAUUUUUGUAGUUUCUAACAAAUUUGUGCAUUGUUUCUACCAUUCUUUGGGUAAUUGAAAAUCACCACUCAACAGCGGUUUAAGAGUAUAUCUGGAGGUGAAGAGCCAGCCAUUUUGAAUACACUAUUGUGGAUACUCGUAAACAUUUGUUCGACAGUAAAUUUUAAUCAGCUAGCCGUACGGUGUUUUUGAAGAUUCUUUGGAGUUCUGGAGGAUUCCAUUACAGUGCUACCGUGGAUAUCGGCAUGACUGGAUUCCCUCCAUAAGAGUCAAAUUUAGAGAUAAAGUUUGAACUAUCGAACAACUUUCAACAUGCUUUUUCAACAUGCAACAGGAUUGUUAUACCGCAAAUAGCUGCAAUGGAAGACAAACAAUCGCAAUCGGAAUUUUCAUCACCAAACCCAAGCAUUUAUUUAUAUUUUUGUCAUUCGUGUUGUUAUUUGUAAGCUAAUCUUCCAAUAAUAAAGUACGUAUGAAAACA
This is a long non-coding RNA of Aedes aegypti (yellow fever mosquito), 568 nucleotides long. RefSeq lists it as uncharacterized. The record is from RefSeq and is a predicted model, not a curated record. The transcript has 3 exons. Lineage: Eukaryota; Metazoa; Arthropoda; Insecta; Diptera; Culicidae.